AGUGAACGCUGGCGGUAGGCCUAACACAUGCAAGUCGAACGGCAGCACAGUAAGAGCUUGCUCUUACGGGUGGCGAGUGGCGGACGGGUGAGGAAUACAUCGGAAUCUACUUUUUCGUGGGUGAUAACGUAGGGAAACUUACGCUAAUACCGCAUACGACCUACGGGUGAAAGCAGGGGAUCUUCGGACCUUGCGCGAUUGAAUGCGCCGAUGUCGGAUUAGCUAGUUGGCGGGGUAAAGGCCCACCAAGGCGACGAUCCGUAGCUGGUCUGAGAGGAUGAUCAGCCACACUGGAACUGAGACACGGUCCAGACUCCUACGGGAGGCAGCAGUGGGGAAUAUUGGACAAUGGGCGCAAGCCUGAUCCAGCCAUACCGCGUGGGUGAAGAAGGCCUUCGGGUUGUAAAGCCCUUUUGUUGGGAAAGAAAAGCAGCAGGUUAAUACCCCGCUGUUCUGACGGUACCCAAAGAAUAAGCACCGGCUAACUUCGUG
This 492-nucleotide ribosomal RNA is filed under the name uncultured bacterium. Its description in RNAcentral is "partial 16S ribosomal RNA". It matches the Rfam family "Bacterial small subunit ribosomal RNA", at positions 29 to 507 of the family's 1533-position model. The record is from RNAcentral.